CCCUUAGAUGUUCUGGGCCGCACGCGCGCUACACUGACGAAUGCAACGAGCUUAUAACCUUGGCCGAAAGGUCUGGGUAAUCUCCAAAUUUCGUCGUGAUGGGGAUAGAUUAUUGCAAUUAUUAAUCUUCAACGAGGAAUGCCUAGUAAGCGCAAGUCAUCAGCUUGCGUUGAUUACGUCCCUGCCCUUUGUACACACCGCCCGUCGCUCCUACCGAUUGAAUGGUCCGGUGAAGCGUUCGGACCGUGGCCUUUGGACGGUUCGCCGUCUGUUGGCUGCGGGAAGUUCGUUAAACCUUAUCCUUUAGAGGAAGGAGAAGUCGUAACA
Molecule: ribosomal RNA, 327 nt
Filed under: uncultured eukaryote
Lineage: Eukaryota
Description: partial 18S ribosomal RNA
Rfam family: Eukaryotic small subunit ribosomal RNA
Source: RNAcentral